CCUACGGGAGGCAGCAGCAGGGAAUCUUGCACAAUGGGCGCAAGCCUGAUCCAGCCAUGCCGCGUGAGUGAUGAAGGCCUUAGGGUCGUAAAGCUCUUUUACCAGGGAAGAUAAUGACUGUACCUGGAGAAUAAGCCCCGGCUAACUUCGUGCCAGCAGCCGCGGUAAU
This 169-nucleotide ribosomal RNA is filed under the name uncultured bacterium. Its description in RNAcentral is "partial 16S ribosomal RNA". It matches the Rfam family "Bacterial small subunit ribosomal RNA", at positions 338 to 524 of the family's 1533-position model. The record is from RNAcentral.